RNAcentral lists this long non-coding RNA (658 nucleotides) under Lytechinus variegatus (green sea urchin). Its description in RNAcentral is "uncharacterized LOC121414978". The record is from RNAcentral. Lineage: Eukaryota; Metazoa; Echinodermata; Echinoidea; Temnopleuroida; Toxopneustidae.
CUUAGCGGAGACACCGUACGAGAAUUUAAAGCGAAAGUGUAUUUCUUUUUGGUCGAUAUGUUCCGUUGUUUACUCACCUGUUACGUAACGUCAGUGAUGUUGUUACCCAAAGAAGUAAAAGUAGUUCCUCAGACUUAUAGCUGAUUAUUCUCAUAUAUUCAUGAUGUGAAUGAUGUUUAUGUUAAAUUCAUAGUUGUUUUCAUUAUACUUUUCAUUUAUACUGAAUCUAGUGAUAUGUCAUAAAUAUUUGUGAUGUUGUGGAAGGAUAUUUACAUCAGAUAGCGUUCAAGUGUAGGUGGCGCGAAAGAAUAAGCGUUUAUGUUGUUACGACGGUAGGAUAAAUCAGAAAGCGAUUUGUGACGACAGUGUACGUUAGGGGUAUUAUGUUCGUUCUUCCAAGUCAAGUUCGACAAGGAGGCAUGGAAUUUCAUUUGACGUACUACCAUGUAUGAGUGAUGCCGAGUGAGGUCUCCAGAGGGUGAUUGGUGGAUAAACCCUUGUUUUCUCUUGGCCUAUAGUAGGGGGUUUGUUUUCCCUGUUUUUGCAUGAUCCACCGGCUGUCAAUAAAUGGCUGACCCACCCCUACUUCUUGUCUAUGGUUCUAUGGUUUUCCUGACUGAGUACCCAACCCCCAAUCCAUACUACCACCCAAGCCCAG